AUGGGGCCAACACAUCGCCUUUUGCUCCAUCCAUCUUAUCUCUUUCAGAGGCGCACACACCGCUUUUUGCUCCAUCCAUCUUAUCUCUUUCACAGGAGGGGCUCUCAGCCACUCCUUUUCCCCAGCACACGGCACCACUUUUUCUCUCGCAUCCUCUCUCCAAUCUCCUUAUUCAGCUCACCACCGGAGUGCUGCGAGACCACCACCGGUGCCGGCAACGGCGACCACCGAUAUACGAGCAGAAGCUGGCCUAGCGGAGUUGCAACCGCGGCGAUGGGAAGCUACAACCCUUGGUUGGCGGAGCUGCAACCGACGGUGGGUUGA
This 324-nucleotide ribosomal RNA is filed under the name Triticum aestivum (bread wheat). RNAcentral's name for it is "partial small subunit ribosomal RNA". The record is from RNAcentral. Lineage: Eukaryota; Viridiplantae; Streptophyta; Magnoliopsida; Poales; Poaceae.